RNAcentral lists this ribosomal RNA (505 nucleotides) under uncultured Borrelia sp. RNAcentral describes it as "bacterial SSU rRNA". It matches the Rfam family "Bacterial small subunit ribosomal RNA", at positions 417 to 918 of the family's 1533-position model. Lineage: Bacteria; Pseudomonadati; Spirochaetota; Spirochaetia; Spirochaetales; Borreliaceae. The record is from RNAcentral.
GAAAGAUUGUAAAGUUCUUUUGUAAAUGAGGAAUAAGCUUUGUAGGAAAUGACAAAGUGAUGACGUUAAUUUAGGAAUAAGCCCCGGCUAAUUACGUGCCAGCAGCCGCGGUAAUACGUAAGGGGCGAGCGUUGUUCGGGAUUAUUGGGCGUAAAGGGUGAGUAGGCGGAUAUGUAAGUCUAUGUGUUAAAUACCACAGCUCAACUGUGGAACUAUGCUAGAAACUGCAUAUCUAGAGUCUGAUAGGGGAAGUUAGAAUUCCUGGUGUAAGGGUGGAAUCUGUUGAGAUCAGGAAGAAUACCAGAGGCGAAGGCGAACUUCUGGGUCAAGACUGACGCUGAGUCACGAAAGCGUAGGGAGCAAACAGGAUUAGAUACCCUGGUAGUCUACGCUGUAAACGAUGCACACUUGGUGUUAACUGAGAGGUUAGUACCGAAGCUAACGUGUUAAGUGUGCCGCCUGGGGAGUAUGCUCGCAAGAGUGAAACUCAAAGGAAUUGACGGGG